GCCGUCAAUUCCUUUAAGUUUUAACCUUGCGGCCGUACUCCCCAGGCGGUCGACUUAUCGCGUUAGCUGCGCCACUAAGAUCUCAAGGAUCCCAACGGCUAGUCGACAUCGUUUACGGCGUGGACUACCAGGGUAUCUAAUCCUGUUUGCUCCCCACGCUUUCGCACCUCAGUGUCAGUAUCAGUCCAGGCGGUCGCCUUCGCCACUGGUGUUCCUUCCUAUAUCUACGCAUUUCACCGCUACACAGGAAAUUCCACCACCCUCUACCGUACUCUAGCUCAGUAGUUUUGGAUGCAGUUCCCAGGUUGAGCCCGGGGAUUUCACAUCCAACUUGCUGAACCACCUACGCGCGCUUUACGCCCAGUAAUUCCGAUUAACGCUUGCACCCUUCGUAUUACCGCGGCUGCUGGCACGAAGUUAGCCGGUGCUUAUUCUGUUGGUAACGUCAAAACAGCAAGGUAUUAACUUACUGCCCUUCCUCCCAACUUAAAGUGCUUUACAAUCCGAAGACCUUCUUCACACACGCGGCAUGGCUGGAUCAGGCUUUCGCCCAUUGUCCAAUAUUCCCCACUGCUGCCUCCCGUAGGAGUCUGGACCGUGUCUCAGUUCCAGUGUGACUGAUCAUCCUCUCAGACCAGUUACGGAUCGUCGCCUUGGUAGGCCUUUACCCCACCAACUAGCUAAUCCGACCUAGGCUCAUCUGAUAGCGUGAGGUCCGAAGAUCCCCCACUUUCUCCCUCAGGACGUAUGCGGUAUUAGCGCCCGUUUCCGGACGUUAUCCCCCACUACCAGGCAGAUUCCUAGGCAUUACUCACCCGUCCGCCGCUGAAUCCAGGAGCAAGCUCCCUUCAUCCGCUCGACUUGCAUGUGUUAGGCCUGCCGCCAGCGUUCAAUCUGAGCCAGGAUCAAACCCUU
RNAcentral lists this ribosomal RNA (915 nucleotides) under uncultured bacterium. RNAcentral's name for it is "partial 16S ribosomal RNA". The record is from RNAcentral.